RNAcentral lists this long non-coding RNA (305 nucleotides) under Sorghum bicolor (sorghum). RNAcentral's name for it is "long non-coding RNA (SBIC_LNC000463)". Lineage: Eukaryota; Viridiplantae; Streptophyta; Magnoliopsida; Poales; Poaceae. The record is from RNAcentral.
AACUACUUUCAUCCACCACAUUCACUAUGUGCUACUUCUGUUCCUAGAAGUACCACCUAUAUAUACGCACUACACUCUGUGUUGUUUCUAUCCUUGAGACAUACACUUAUGCUGCUCCUACCCUAGGAGUACGCAUUCCUCUAUUCAUCACCCACACACAUUCCACAUCCACUUAGAAAAUGUUCUACUCCUACACUAGGAGAAGACACCCAAAAAUAUUCAAUGUCUUAUUCUACUUAUCCAAUAAAGCUCCAGUUAUCCCAGUUGAUACUCCCUACUGUUAUCAUUGCAUUAAAAGGGAUGGC